Molecule: ribosomal RNA, 440 nt
Filed under: uncultured bacterium
Lineage: Bacteria
Description: partial 16S ribosomal RNA
Rfam family: Bacterial small subunit ribosomal RNA
Source: RNAcentral
CCUACGGGAGGCAGCAGUGGGGGAUAUUGCACAAUGGGGGAAACCCUGAUGCAGCGACGCCGCGUGAGUGAAGAAGUAUUUCUGUAUGUAAAGCUCUAUCAGCAGGGAAGAAAAUGACAGUACCUGACCAAGAAGCCCCGGCUAACUACGUGCCAGCAGCCGUGGUAAUACGUAGGGGGCCAGCGUUAUCCGGAUUUACUGGGUGUAAAGGGAGCGUAGACGGUUAUGUAAGUCUGGAGUGAAAGCCCGGGGCCCAACCCCGGGAUUGCUUUGGAAACUGUGUAACUGGAGUGCAGGAGGGGCAGGCGGAAUGCGUGGUGUAGCGGUGAAAUGCAUAGAUAUCAGGAAGAACACCGACGGCGAAGGCAGCCUGCUAGACUAAAACUGACGUUGAGGCUCGAAAGCGUGGGGAGCAAACAGGAUUAGAUACCCCGGUAGUC